RNAcentral lists this long non-coding RNA (201 nucleotides) under Nicotiana benthamiana. RNAcentral's name for it is "long non-coding RNA (NBEN_LNC021737)". The record is from RNAcentral. Lineage: Eukaryota; Viridiplantae; Streptophyta; Magnoliopsida; Solanales; Solanaceae.
AUAGAAUGGGGAGCUAAUGGGGAUGGAAGUCAAACAAAAAUUAACCCUACUACCGGAGGUCUCCUAAAAUAUGAUAAAAUGAGGGAUCGAGAGGAAUUAGUGAAAAUGAUUGCUUUGGGUUGUCUACCUUUUUCUUUUGCUUCUUCCUCUUAUCUUAUUAUGUAUAUUCAAAGGAUAUACAAUCCUUUGUUUAAAGGUANN